GCUCAGCGUCGAUGGCGGACAGGGGGUCAUUCAUCCAGCUCUCUGACCAGCGCAGCCAGUCAGAGGCUGUGGUCCAGAGGUCCAGGUUCUUGGCAAGGAUGUCCAGCAUGGAAGUGGCCAGGGCCUUGCGCUUCUUGGACAGGCUCUGCUUGACGUUGUCAGUGUUGAUGUAGAAAGGUCCGAUGAUGAUGCUGCUGGGCAGCGAACUGUCCAGGAUCUCCUUCUCCUGCAGAACCGUGCCUGGUUCGUGGCAAGUGCUCAAAGAAUAUUUCUCCGCUGAGUAACUCAAUGACAAAGUGAGUGAAGGUCACCAGAAGCAAUGCAAG
Molecule: long non-coding RNA, 326 nt
Organism: Cebus imitator (Panamanian white-faced capuchin)
Lineage: Eukaryota; Metazoa; Chordata; Mammalia; Primates; Cebidae
Exons: 3
Source: RefSeq, a predicted model, not a curated record